CGAUAAUUAGUGAAAAAGUAAGAGAGAUUAGUGGAAUGGAAGAAUGGAUUGGGAGACAUGGGAAGCAGUGGCAGUGAGGUGAAAGUUGAGUGGACCACUCUCAUUUUCUUUUAUGUUUUGUCUUAACCUAGAAGCACAGGCGGGGACCACCAAACAGUUCCGCGUGACCUUUGUCUCCUUUUCUGUUUUUCUCUUUCAUCUAAGAAAUAGGUUGAGCCGCCGGCACCUCUUAUCUUCCAUCCUUCUCUGUUCACUACUAUUCAUCUUCAUUCACUGUCUUCUGUUAUGUUCUGUGUCUUCUGUCUUCUGUCUUCUGUUCUGUUCUGUUCUGUUACAGCCCCACCACCUUCUACCUCGCAACCUCAUUCAUUCACCUUAGGCCCGCACUCCUAAAUCUUCUGUGGUACUAUGUUGUGGUCCAUGAAACCUCCUUAGGACACGUGUCGUUCCUGGGUGCUCACGUCCUUUUCGGGUUGGGUAGUGCCCAGCCCACACUACUCCUACUCCUCUCAUACGUCCUUUUGGGGUUUGGGUCCGCCCAGAAUAAUGCUCU
RNAcentral lists this long non-coding RNA (553 nucleotides) under Vigna radiata. Its description in RNAcentral is "long non-coding RNA (VRAD_LNC003337)". Lineage: Eukaryota; Viridiplantae; Streptophyta; Magnoliopsida; Fabales; Fabaceae. The record is from RNAcentral.